RNAcentral lists this ribosomal RNA (440 nucleotides) under uncultured bacterium. RNAcentral's name for it is "partial 16S ribosomal RNA". It matches the Rfam family "Bacterial small subunit ribosomal RNA", at positions 338 to 795 of the family's 1533-position model. The record is from RNAcentral.
CCUACGGGUGGCUGCAGUAGGGAAUAUUGCGCAAUGGGGGAAACCCUGAAGGAGCAACGCCGCGUGGAGGAUGAAGGUUUUAGGAUUGUAAACUCCUUUUGUUAGAGAAGAUUAUGACGUUGUCUAACGAAUAAGCACCGGCUAACUCCGUGCCAGCAGCCGCCGGCAUACGGAGGGUGCAAGCGUUACUCGGAAUCAAUGGGCGUAAAGAGUGCGGAGGCGGGGGAAAAAGUCCAAUGUGAAAUCCUGUAGCUUAACUACAGAAAUGCAAUUGAAACUGGUAAUCUGGAGUGUGGGAGAGGUAGGUGGAAUUCUAGGUGUAGGGGUAAAAUGCGUAGAGAUCAAGAGGAAUACUCAUUGCGAAGGCGACCUGCUGGAACAUUACUGACGCUGAUGCACGAAAGCGUGGGGAGCAAACAGGAUUAGAUACCCCGGUAGUC